AUGGCAGGUGUCGUGGGUAGGGGCCUGCCGGCUAUGGGGCGACCGGCGUUUCUGUUGCUCGUGAUGUGUGCUGCCGGCACCCAGGGGCUCUACUUCCACAUCGGCGAGACAGAGAAGCGUUGCUUCAUCGAGGAAAUCCCCGACGAGACCAUGGUCAUCGGCAACUAUCGAACCCAGAUGUGAGACAAGCAGAAGGAGGUUUUCCUUCCCUCGACCCCUGGCCUGGGCAUGCAUGUGGAGGUGAAGGACCCCGACGGUAAGGUGGUACUGUCCCGACAGUAUGGCUCCGAGGGCCGUUUCACGUUCACCUCCCACACUCCCGGUGAACAUCAGAUUUGUCUGCACUCCAAUUCCACUAGAAUGGCCCUCUUCGCCAGUGGCAAACUGUGUGUGCACCUAGACAUCCAGGUCGGGGAGCAUGCCAACAACUACCCUGAGAUUGCAGCUAAGAAUAAGCUGACGGAACUGCAGCUCCGUGCUCGCCAGUUACUUGAUCAAGUGGAACAGAUCCAGAAGGAGAAGGAUUACCAGAGAUAUCGUGAAGAACGCUUCCGUCUGACCAGUGAGAGUACCAACCAGAGGGUCCUGUGGUGGUCCAUCGCUCAGACAGUCAUCCUUAUCCUUACUGGCAUUUGGCAGAUGCGUCAUCUCAAGAGCUUCUUUGAGGCCAAGAAGCUGGUGUAGUGUCCUCUCUGUAUGACCCUUUUUACUUUAGUUCUUUGGUACUUUCUCCAACCAAUCCCUUAACCACCUGGAUUUUGAGGGGAAAAAAUGCAAAGGAAUAUGACAUGUUGGUAGUAUGGCAACAAACCAUUCUGAUCAGUAACUUGUUUAACCUUGAUUCUCAUGGACACAGGACAUUGGUCCAAGAUUUCAAAUUCUAUUUUAGGGCUUAUAAGGAAUUGAAACUAAUACAAGACAAGUCUUGUCUCUUUUGCCUCCAGUGAUUCCCCUGUCCUCUCAAAAAAUGAGCAAAUGACCUUCUGUUUUUUUCUUCAUCUGAUUACACAGUAGGUGACUGGCAUACCCCACAAAGGAGGCCUUGCCUCACUGUUCCCUAGCCAGUUACUUGGUUCACUCAGUGGCUUUGUGAAUGUAAAUAAGGGGCAGGUCUUGGCCCCAGAGGAUCGAGAUGUUUUUCUAUAUAUUAGAACUAUUUUUUGAUAAAUUAUAUAUUUUCCUUCCUA
Non-coding RNA from Marmota flaviventris (yellow-bellied marmot), 1187 nucleotides. Lineage: Eukaryota; Metazoa; Chordata; Mammalia; Rodentia; Sciuridae. The record is from RefSeq and is a predicted model, not a curated record.